This 468-nucleotide ribosomal RNA is filed under the name uncultured bacterium. RNAcentral's name for it is "partial 16S ribosomal RNA". It matches the Rfam family "Bacterial small subunit ribosomal RNA", at positions 28 to 507 of the family's 1533-position model. The record is from RNAcentral.
GACGAACGCUGGCGGCGUGCUUAACACAUGCAAGUCGAACGGCAACGCACUGCUUUUUUGGGGUGCUCGAGUGGCGAACGGGUGCGUAACACGUAAGUAACCUGCCCUUGACUUUGGGAUAACUUCAGGUAACUGGGGCUAAUCCCGUAUCGGAGCCCCUGUUGCAUGGUGGGGGUUGGAACGUUUCGGCUGUUGGGGAUGGACUCGCGGCUUAUCAACUUGUUGGUGGGGUAGUGGCUUACCAACGGUUUGACCGGUCGCCGGCCUGGGAGGGUGACCGGCGACAUGGGGACUGAGGUAGGGCGCAGACUGCUACGGGAGGCAGCAGGGGGGAAUAUUGUACAAUGGGCGGAAGCCUGAUGAAGAAACGCCGCGGGCGGGAUGACGGCCUUCGGGUUGUGAACCGCUUUCGCCUGUGACGAAGCGGGAGUGACGGUAAUGGGUAAAGAAGCACCGGCUAACUACGUG